This 443-nucleotide ribosomal RNA is filed under the name uncultured bacterium. RNAcentral describes it as "SSU rRNA". It matches the Rfam family "Bacterial small subunit ribosomal RNA", at positions 26 to 518 of the family's 1533-position model. The record is from RNAcentral.
AGAGCGAACGCUGGCGGCAGGCUUAACACAUGCAAGUCGAGCGCCCCGCAAGGGGAGCGGCAGACGGGAGAGUAACACGUGGGAACGUACCUUUCGGUUCGGAACAACCCAGGGAAACUUGGGCUAAUACCGGAUACGUCCGUAAGGAGAAAGAUUUAUCGCCGAAAGAUCGGCCCGCGUCUGAUUAGCUAGUUGGUGAGGUAACGGCUCACCAAGGCGACGAUCAGUAGCUGGUCUGAGAGGAUGAUCAGCCUCACUGGGACUGAGACACGGCCCAGACUCCUACGGGAGGCAGCAGUGGGGAAUAUUGGACAAUGGGCGCAAGCCUGAUCCAGCCAUGCCGCGUGGGUGAUGAAGGCCCUAGGGUUGUAAAGCCCUUUCGGCGGGAAGAUAAUGACGGUACCAGCAGAAGAAGCCCCGGCUAACUUCGCGCCAGCAGCCGC